ACGUAAUAUGCAAGCGUUAUUCGGAAUCACUGGGCGUAAAGGGUGCGUAGGCGGUGAAUUAAGUCGGAUGUGAAAUCCUACGGCUCAACCGUAGAAUUGCGUUCGAAACUGAUUGACUAGAAUCAGAGAAGGGAAGGCGGAAUUCCUGGUGUAGGAGUGAAAUCUAUAGAUAUCAGGAAGAACACCGGUGGCGAAGGCGGCCUUCUGGCUUAUGAUUGACGCUGAGGCACGAAAGUGUGGGGAGCGAACGG
RNAcentral lists this ribosomal RNA (251 nucleotides) under uncultured prokaryote. Its description in RNAcentral is "partial 16S ribosomal RNA". It matches the Rfam family "Bacterial small subunit ribosomal RNA", at positions 525 to 775 of the family's 1533-position model. The record is from RNAcentral.